GCGCCCGUAGCUCAAUUGGAUAGAGCACAGGCCUACGAAGCCUGGGGUUAGAUGUUCGAGUCAUCUCGGGCGCG
RNAcentral lists this transfer RNA (74 nucleotides) under Myxococcales bacterium. RNAcentral's name for it is "tRNA-Arg". It matches the Rfam family "tRNA". Rfam says of the family: Transfer RNA (tRNA) molecules are approximately 80 nucleotides in length. Their secondary structure includes four short double-helical elements and three loops (D, anti-codon, and T loops). Further hydrogen bonds mediate the characteristic L-shaped molecular structure. tRNAs have two regions of fundamental functional importance: the anti-codon, which is responsible for specific mRNA codon recognition, and the 3' end, to which the tRNAs corresponding amino acid is attached (by aminoacyl-tRNA synthetases). tRNAs cope with the degeneracy of the genetic code in two manners: having more than one tRNA (with a specific anti-codon) for a particular amino acid; and 'wobble' base-pairing, i.e. permitting non-standard base-pairing at the 3rd anti-codon position. Lineage: Bacteria; Pseudomonadati; Myxococcota; Myxococcia; Myxococcales. The record is from RNAcentral.